AAACUAAAAGACAAUCCCACCCUAGCGUGGGAGUCUUCUUCUCGAAUCCCAGUUGAUAAAGUGGCAGAGACUACCGCUCCAGUCAUGAGACCGGAGCACCGGAGCUCAAUCCUGAGCUGGUCUUGCAACUCCUGGGAGGAGACCCACAAAAUUCAACGUUGUUCCUUUCCGAAACCUCCGCUUCAUUCUUGGAUUCACCAAAACCUGGCAACACUCCAGAAAAAAAUUAUUUCACGAAAGGUUCGACUUCUGAAGUUAUAGAAAUCAAAAUCAAAAUCAAAAUCAAAAUCGAACCCAGAAAUCAAAACCACCCAAAUUAUAGAAAUCGACACCUUUUUCGGUGCUGUGGCAGAUGGGUUGCAGAAAUUGGGAGUUUUCUAGUGCGAUCUAAUGAAUAUUCCAAUGCGAAAAUGACCAAUUUUUUUCAAGAUUCAACCUGGCGAAACUCUCCAAAAUCUACCCAGCAAGCAAAUUGUUCCCAAGAUCAUCAAGCACUGUGAGUCUUCAAACCUGGUGACAAACUCCGGAAACGACCCGGAAAACCAACAAUGGGGAAACCCAUGCAUGGUGACUUCAACCUCGUGGAUGGAGGCGGGACAGAGGCUGCGAUCUUACGAGGCCACCAUCAUCCAUUGAAGCUGGCGACGCUAGCGAACGACGUCGGGAAAGGUGGCUUCGGUGAUGCUGCCAAGGUGGUGGUGUUGAGUUCAUCAAAGGGCUAAAACGGAAAUGUCCAAGGAUUAUUGUUUUCAGUUUGCUUGGUGGGUUUAUUUUUGUUAUUGGACCCUUGAUCCGAACUCUGCAAAAAUU
RNAcentral lists this long non-coding RNA (810 nucleotides) under Vitis vinifera (wine grape). Its description in RNAcentral is "long non-coding RNA (VVIN_LNC006752)". Lineage: Eukaryota; Viridiplantae; Streptophyta; Magnoliopsida; Vitales; Vitaceae. The record is from RNAcentral.